GGCAUCCCUGGGCUCAUCAUGGUGCUGCUGUGCAGGGAUCCUCUGGGGGCCUUUCCAUUAUCCAAACUCCCCCCAGAUCUGCACAAGCUCCAUGCUUAACUCCUGCCUUUGCCAAAUUGGGUUGAGAUUGACUCUCUGGCUGAAACUGUCUGGGGGAAGAGGCAGUGGAGAGCUCAGACUGCCAUGCCCUGUGUCCUUGGGGAAGCAGAGCUGUGCCAGGUGGGGAGCAGCAGCUCCACAGGGAGCAGGGCAGUAUCCAUCAAGUCACCUGGGCAGAGAAGGGAGCCACGACUGGGUCCCUUUUGGUAUAACACAGCAACACUUCUCUAACAUCCAUUUUUCAAUUCAUAGUACUGCCUGCUAAUAACAACUAAAACUUUCCUCACUGGACCCCUGACUCAGUGCUCAUGCCAGGACUAUUGCCCUGAUUUGAUAGCAGCUAUUGAAGGAAAUAAAAAGGACAGCUUUGGAGCAGUCUCGUCAGGCAGCAUGAUGACUCUUGGCAGCAGGAGAACCAUUUUGCCUUUCUGGAAACUGCUGGUCAGACCCAGGGUCUCAACAAACAAAGUACCAUUUUUUCCCUCAUAGCUGGCUGUCAGGGACUCAUGGGAAGGGUCCCCUCAGUGGGAAGCAAAUAAAGCAGAGCUCACACGCCAGCUGAGACUAAGACAAGGCACUGCAUGGAUCUCUGGUCAAACGUGGCAUGAUGUAAGUGACUGCUCUGAAGUGAAAGCAACUGUUCAGAGAGAGAGAGAGAGCUGAAGCAAUGUUGUGGGAACUGCUCUGCAGGGCCUAGCCCAUGGUGAUGGGAGCCAUGGACACCUUCUUCAGGAGGUGUUUGGGGCCAUGGAGUCACCCAGUCCACCCUCCCUGCUCAGGGAUGGAGUUUGGCAUGUCUGGAGUGCAGAGCUGGUACCUGGGGUUUGUGUUCAUUGGUUCCAUCUGGGCUCUGAACCACAGACUCAACGUGUAACCUCUGCUUCUGUGUCCUCACUGAUACGGGCUCAAGGGGAAAACAUCCAUUUCUGUGCUAAAGACAAGGCUGCAGGAACAGAAGAGCUGCAUCUUGGAAGAAAGGUGCUGCUGCUCUCAGGAUGUGCCCCAGCAAGAAGAGAGAAUGAGCACCUUGAGCUCGAGCGCUGCCGACUGCAGGGUGGCUGGAGUUGGGUGUUCUGCUCACAGGCAGAAGAAAACCACUUCAAGACAUCAAGAUGAAACUGGAUUUAUGGAUAAAAACGGCCAAAUGACAUCUGAAAAUUUUGUUUCCCUUUGAAAUUCUUGAUGCAUUUCAGCAUCUCCAGGAGGGCAUCUCCUCUCUUGUGUUGCCAGGUGAUGUGUCAUUAAUAUAUAUUGAUUUUUUUUUUUUUAAUGGGGAAUUAAAGUAUUGUUGUGGUGUGAG
RNAcentral lists this long non-coding RNA (1399 nucleotides) under Cyanistes caeruleus (blue tit). Its description in RNAcentral is "lncRNA (ENSCCEG00000002156.1)". The record is from RNAcentral. Lineage: Eukaryota; Metazoa; Chordata; Aves; Passeriformes; Paridae.